UACAGAGGUCUCAAGCGUUGUUCGGAUUCAUUGGGCGUAAAGGGUGCGUAGGUGGCGUCGUAAGUCGGUGUGAAUUUCGGAGCUUAACUCCGAAACUGCAUUCGAUACUGCGGUGCUUGAGGACUGGAGAGGAGACUGGAAUUUGACGGUGAGCAGUGAAAUGCGUAGAGAGUCGUAAGGAAGACCAGUGGCGAAGGCGGGUCUCGUGGACAAG
RNAcentral lists this ribosomal RNA (214 nucleotides) under uncultured bacterium. Its description in RNAcentral is "partial 16S ribosomal RNA". It matches the Rfam family "Bacterial small subunit ribosomal RNA", at positions 524 to 737 of the family's 1533-position model. The record is from RNAcentral.